GUCUACAGCCAUAUCACCCUGAACGUGCCUGAUCUCGUCUGAUCUCGGAAGCUAAGCAGGGUCGGGCCCAGUUAGUACUUGAAGGGGAGACCACCUAGGAAGACCAGGUGCUGUAGGCA
RNAcentral lists this ribosomal RNA (119 nucleotides) under Pteropus alecto (black flying fox). Lineage: Eukaryota; Metazoa; Chordata; Mammalia; Chiroptera; Pteropodidae. The record is from RNAcentral.